UAGUUUUGAGUUUCAAGUUAA
RNAcentral lists this non-coding RNA (21 nucleotides) under Caenorhabditis elegans. Lineage: Eukaryota; Metazoa; Nematoda; Chromadorea; Rhabditida; Rhabditidae. The record is from RNAcentral.